CAUGAGUGCAGUUACAAUAUAGGGGAUACUAGAUUGUCAAUAUAAAUUUGUCAAAUGGAUGCUUGAUACAAAAGGCCGUUUUAACAUUCAGCGUAAGUACACAUAUAUACAUAUAGUGUUACACAUAUAUAUAUAUAUAUUUAUAUAUUUAUAUUAGUAUGUUAAUGUAUUAGCAACUUACCCUUUUUAUAUUUCCUCGUCGAUUUUCAACAAGACAAAACAAGACAAGACUGCUCACGUCGGCUCUGGAACGUAGCAGAUGAAGUAGCAGACCUCUGCAGUGGCUUCUAGCUCAAGGCAGGGAUAAAAUAAUAAGUCGACGAUUCUUCAAGGCUCGUAGUUGCGUUCAAGACUUUAUUCUCAAAUACGCUGAUUGUCAAAAUGCAUAGCAAGAGACGACUCGAGAAACAAAGUUUCCACGGACGUCCUUACCGCACUCAGGGAUUCACUCUGAGAAAAUCAGAAUGAAGAGCCAAAUUGCUAACGUCAAAGUGCAUAGCAAGAGACGACUCGAGAAACAAAGUCUCCACGGACGUCCCUGCCGCACUUACGGACUCACUCUGAGAGAAUCAGAAUAAAAGAGACCGAUGGAGAGAGCCGGAGAGAGAGCGCGAAAAGCGUUAGAGGGGCACGCCGUUCCCCACCGUGCGAUCGUAGGGGAAGCAGCAAGCUCCUCCUUUUCUCUAAGUGAAUCCGUGAGCACAGUUCUUUGUUCUUUAAUAUACAUUUUAAAAUAAACGCAAUUGUUUAAACAAUAUGAUUUUCAGCUUAAAAUAACGAGAACAAUAAGUUGUAUCGUCGGCUUCCACCUGCAACGUUCUGUCCGUGGCGAUGUACUAAAUUGAACUGAGAGAAUUUGUUUAUAUUACUUUAUCAUUCGCGUGACGUAUUUGUCACUGAGGCCGCAUCACCUAUGCUUCAAGAGGAUGCUCUAUGGAUCUGUUACUUGAGCUCGCAAGCCGUCGCUGAGAAGAUACGACUAUGAAGAUUCCUCGCUUGCUUAAAGUGCGAUAUACCUAUAGUAAUCGUUAGUUGCAAAUUGAACUUGUUAGUUAACUAAUUGAGCUAGAGAUGUGAAAUUGAACCUUUAAUUGUAAAAUAUCAUUUCCUUUUAUGUGCCCGUAUCAGAAAUAUUAAAUAUGUAUUAUUUAAAGAAUAUUCUUAUUUGACUUGUCUAUGUAGUAGGCACUCACGUACAUGCUGUGUGUAUGUGUGAGUGUAUGCGUGUGCAGUGAAAAGUGAUUUUAUACCGUUCUUACUUUAUAAGUUAAUAACUUUUAAACUAAUACGUAAAAAGUUUUGAAAUUUUGCAAGUGUGUUCCUUAAUGUUUGUUUUAAAUCGUAUUUAAGUUUAGUGAUUAAGAGAUGUAUUGUUUAAUUGUAAUAAAAUAUUAACUUGGCAAAAUGACAUAUUUCAGAUAUGCUUUAAAGUAUAGAGCGAGUUUUGUACCAAAUAUUCUUCAUUUACGCUACUUUACAAAAUAGUUAAUUUUUAUCGGCAAGGGCGUUAAUUCAUGAGAAUUGUUUAUUAGAUGGACAUUUGUUAAUUUGUUAGGUUUUAAUAAACAAUAUACUUUGUGUUAUAGGAAGUUUGUUCUGGCGACUGACUAUUUUUGCUGACUUUAUAUAAUUUCGGCAAGUUCGUGUAGCUAUGAUAAUCUACAACUUAUUUGAUAUAUGUCUUAUACAAUAAUUCUUAAUUAACAAUUGUAUUAGUCGUUACGUUUUCAACUAAAAAUUAUGAAAUAAAAAUUUUAAUAACAACAAAA
Molecule: long non-coding RNA, 1769 nt
Organism: Solenopsis invicta (red fire ant)
Lineage: Eukaryota; Metazoa; Arthropoda; Insecta; Hymenoptera; Formicidae
Exons: 3
Source: RefSeq, a predicted model, not a curated record